CCUGACACAGAAAGUCGAGCAGAGCGAACAGGGCUUCGCGGUGUUCGUCGGGCAACAGCAGCACCGCGUUGUAGACGGCUUCCUUUUGCAAGUUCACCGGAACGUCUGUUUAGACGCAUAUUGUACAACAUACAUUUCUUGUAUCGAUAAAGAAAAGUAAUUCGCGGUUUUACGAAAUCGUGACUUAAUUCCAUUUUUAUGAAAUCUAACAAACACGAACUAUGUAAAGUUGAUCAAUGAAUUGUAUCAGAAAAAUUAUGCACAAUAUCAAAUUAACUGAAUGUUUGAAUAAACACACGCCGGUUGCUAAUAGUUUCACGCGUAAACAAGGCGAUUUACGAAUAUAGUAUGCGGUCUACAGGCGAUUCACGAAUAUAUAGUAUGCGGUCUACAGGCGAUUCACGAAUAUAGUAUGCGGUCUACCAAAAUGGCAAAAUAAAUAUAUAUUAUAUAUUUAUUUCUCGCAACCAUGUUUCCAUGAGAUACCUACAAUAAUAUGUAUAAUGUAAUACUACAUUAAAUUUAUUACUUAUACAUAACUUAUAAUAAUUUUACCUAGGAAGGAGAUCUGCAGGACUUGUACCUAUACCACACAUGUUUUGGUGUAAGAAUAUUUUACCGGGCGAACUUAUUUUUUCAAUUUUUUUUUUGUAAAGGGGUGCUUUAGCUAGUUAAGAACGAUGGCGCUAAAAUAAAUUGGCGGAAAUCAUUAGUUUUUAAGUUAUGACGACUUAGAAUUAUUAUACUGUAUAUCGUAUAGAUAUAUAAUGAUUUGUGCAGAGCGGAGCCGCGACGGCGCCGAGGAGCGUAGCGACGAGUACUGAAACACAUGCAGUCACAUUUUUUUGCAUUUGAAAAAAAUAAGAUCGCUGGUAGAAUAAUUUUUUUAAAAAAGUAAAAAAAUUAAGUCUUUGAUAGCGGAAUUGAACCCCGCGAUCUGGUAAGCACUAUAGUAAGUGUUAGUUACCACUAGACUACGACAAUGGAUUUUCGGAUCGUGUAAUUAUUGAGGUAUUUAACGUAUAUAUAUUAUAUACGAUAUACAGUAAUAAUAUAUAAAAGUCAAAAUAUUUUUAAAAUUUAGCCAUGUAGGUAUAUUAAUAACGAUAAUACAAACAUGUGGUGAAAAUUUUAAGUUUUUACAGUGAUUAUAGUUUUUGAGUUAACACCGUUUAAAAAAAUCGAUUUGGUCUGCAAAAACUGGUUUUGUCUAAAAAUUCCUGUUUUUCCGUCACUUAUAUUUUGUUUUUCUCGAUUUUUUUAAAAACUGUUAGAAAAUGGUUAUACUUUUGACCUCUAUAUUUACCAAGGAUAUCUAUUUACUUUGCCAUCGGAAACCACCACCUAAGUUUGAAAUUGAAGCAUUAUUUUGACUAGUUGUACUGUAGACACAAAAAAAACACACACACACACACAUCAUGGUAGAAUUAUUACAUUCAUCACUCCGUUCCGAUAUCUAAAAAACAAUUCUAUUCGCAAUGAGAUCGUACCUCGGCGGCCGACUUCUGCGCAUGGGCGUGGCUUCUGUGCAUGGGAGUGGCUUCGUUCCGCAGCGCUAGCCCACGAGCUUUUGUCUACUUGAGAAUCGUGUUAUUGUGGAACCGACAGCCGAAGUGAACACAUCGUUAAAUUUAAUAUUCAUACAUGUGCAAUGUGUAUUAUUUAAUCGCACUCGCAGCUUUAUACGACCGUUUCAUACCCGUUUUAUACCCAAUCGAAAUUCCGAACCGAUGUUUGACUAGGCGGGGGAAGCGUCUGACCGUCGCAGACGAAAAUUGGUCGCCGCCGAGGUACGAUCUUAUUCCGAAUAGAGUAUGGUAUAGUAAAAAUAACUAAAUAAGUACCUAUUAGAAAAAUUGUUUUUUUUUUUUUUUAAAUUAAUAAUUAACUUAUUAACUCAAUUAAAAUGAAAUUUAAAUAUUCUGAAGCCACAAAUCAUAAUAAGUUUUUAUAAAUUCAUAGAGAUAUUCAAAACUAUAGUAGGUAUUGUCAUAAUGCUCAAAUGGGUUAAAUUUUAUGGAUAUUUUAUGUAUCUAUUGAAGAACGUUGUCAGAUAGUUUACAGGUUUUAUACAAAUAUCUUGGAGUUUUUAAACAAUUUCUAAAUGUAGAAAUAGCCAUGACAUCUCAAAGUUAUAAAAAAAUAAAAUACCACAAAUUUUGGUUAUAAUGAAGAUUUAAGAGGUAGGUUGUGACAACAUUAAAAAAUCUUAGAUGUGGUAGUUGAAAUUUUACAUUGUUCAAAUAUAAUUUAAAAGUUAUAGUUUACCUAAACAUUGAUAGAACAAGUUGAAAGUAUAUUGAUGAUAGGCAGU
Aphis gossypii (cotton aphid) is the source of this 2314-nucleotide long non-coding RNA. RefSeq lists it as uncharacterized. The transcript has 3 exons. NCBI's taxonomy places the organism in Eukaryota, Metazoa, Arthropoda, Insecta, Hemiptera, Aphididae. The record is from RefSeq and is a predicted model, not a curated record.